UACGUAGGGUGCAAGCGUUAAUCGGAAUCAUUGGGCGUAAAGGGCGCGUAGGUGGUUCUGUAUGUCUACCGUGAAAGCGUACGGCUCAACCGUAUUUUGUCGGUAGAAACUGCAGGACUUGAGGCUGGGAGGGGCUGGUGGAAUUCCCUGUGUAGCGGUGAAAUGCGUAGAGAUGGGGGAGAACACUCGUGGCGAAGGCGGCCAGCUAGACCAGUUCUGACACUGAGGCGCGACAGCGUGGGGAGCAAACAGG
This 253-nucleotide ribosomal RNA is filed under the name uncultured bacterium. RNAcentral describes it as "partial 16S ribosomal RNA". It matches the Rfam family "Bacterial small subunit ribosomal RNA", at positions 524 to 776 of the family's 1533-position model. The record is from RNAcentral.